GCAUAAUCAUUUGCCUUUUAAUUGGAGGCUAGUAUGAAUGGAUAAACGAGGGACCCCCUGUCUCGUAUAAACAAAUAAAAAUUAAUAUUCAGGUGAAGAAGCCUGGGUAACACUAAAAGACAAGAAGACCCUAUAGAGUUUUACUUUAACCUAUAAAAAUUUACAAAUACUCAUAUUUAAAUAAAUAUAAAAAAGUUUAGUUGGGGCGACUAAGGAACAAAAAAACCUUCCUUAAAAUUAAGAACCAAUUCACACUCCAGAUCCUAAAAAGACCAAAAAAAUAACAUUACCUUAGGGAUAACAGGCUAAUCUCCCCAGAGAGUCCAAAUUGACGGGGAGGGUUGGCACCUCGAUGUUGGCUUAAGACAACUCUUAAAUGCAGCAGUUUAAAAAAGUUGGUUUGU
This 404-nucleotide ribosomal RNA is filed under the name Hesiospina legendrei. RNAcentral's name for it is "partial 16S ribosomal RNA". It matches the Rfam family "Bacterial large subunit ribosomal RNA", at positions 1959 to 2580 of the family's 2925-position model. Lineage: Eukaryota; Metazoa; Annelida; Polychaeta; Phyllodocida; Hesionidae. The record is from RNAcentral.